Molecule: ribosomal RNA, 439 nt
Filed under: uncultured bacterium
Lineage: Bacteria
Description: partial 16S ribosomal RNA
Rfam family: Bacterial small subunit ribosomal RNA
Source: RNAcentral
CUACGGGCUGCUGCAGUGAGGAAUAUUGCACAAUGGGGGGAACCCUGAUGCAGCAACGCCGCGUGGAGGAUGACGCAUUUCGGUGUGUAAACUCCUUUUAUAUGUCAAGAAAAUGACGGUAGCAUAUGAAUAAGCACCGGCUAACUCCGUGCCAGCAGCCGCGGUAAUACGGAGGGUGCAAGCGUUACUCGGAAUCACUGGGCGUAAAGGACGCGUAGGCGGGUUGGAAAGUCAGGUGUGAAAUCCUACAGCUUAACUGUAGAACUGCACCUGAAACUUCUAAUCUAGAGUAUGGGAGGGGGAGAUGGAAUUAGUGGUGUAGGGGUACAAUCCGUAGAUAUCACUAGGAAUACCUAAAGCGAAGGCGAUCUCCUGGAACAUUACUGACGCUAAGGCGUGAAAGCGUGGGGAGCAAACAGGAUUAGAUACCCCUGUAGUC